UCCUACGGGAGGCAGCAGUGAGGAAUAUUGGGCAAUGGACGAAAGUCUGACCCAGCAACGCCGCGUGGAGGAUGACGGCCGUAAGGUUGUAAACUCCUUUUGAAGGGGACGAAAAAUUUCGAUAACACCGAAACUUGACUGUACCCUUAGAAGAAGCCCCGGCUAACUACGUGCCAGCAGCCGCGGUAAUACGGAGGGUGCAAGCGUUAUCCGGAUUCACUGGGUUUAAAGGGUGCGUAGGCGGGCAGGUAAGUCAGUGGUGAAAUCCUGGAGCUUAACUCCAGAACUGCCAUUGAUACUAUCUGUCUUGAAUACUGUGGAGGUAAGCGGAAUAUGUCAUGUAGCGGUGAAAUGCUUAGAUAUGACAUAGAACACCUAUUGCGAAGGCAGCUUACUACGCAUAUAUUGACGCUGAGGCACGAAAGCGUGGGGAUCAAACAGGAUUAGAUACCCUAGUAGUCCAAGCCG
Molecule: ribosomal RNA, 468 nt
Filed under: uncultured bacterium
Lineage: Bacteria
Description: bacterial SSU rRNA
Rfam family: Bacterial small subunit ribosomal RNA
Source: RNAcentral